GCGUCAUUGGUGUAAUGGUUAGCAUUGAAGCCUUCCAAGCUUUAGUUCCUGGUUCGAUUCCUGGAUGACGCA
Transfer RNA from Saitoella complicata NRRL Y-17804, 72 nucleotides. It matches the Rfam family "tRNA". From Rfam's summary of the family: Transfer RNA (tRNA) molecules are approximately 80 nucleotides in length. Their secondary structure includes four short double-helical elements and three loops (D, anti-codon, and T loops). Further hydrogen bonds mediate the characteristic L-shaped molecular structure. tRNAs have two regions of fundamental functional importance: the anti-codon, which is responsible for specific mRNA codon recognition, and the 3' end, to which the tRNAs corresponding amino acid is attached (by aminoacyl-tRNA synthetases). tRNAs cope with the degeneracy of the genetic code in two manners: having more than one tRNA (with a specific anti-codon) for a particular amino acid; and 'wobble' base-pairing, i.e. permitting non-standard base-pairing at the 3rd anti-codon position. The record is from Rfam. Lineage: Eukaryota; Fungi; Ascomycota; Saitoellomycetes; Saitoellales; Saitoellaceae.